Molecule: long non-coding RNA, 1373 nt
Organism: Phyllopteryx taeniolatus (common seadragon)
Lineage: Eukaryota; Metazoa; Chordata; Actinopteri; Syngnathiformes; Syngnathidae
Exons: 2
Source: RefSeq, a predicted model, not a curated record
UCACACCAUGGCCCCACUCACACCAUGUGAUUGAUCAUGAUCAGAUGAUUAAUUAAUAUAUUCAACUGUACCUUAUUUAGCUACACAAUAUAUCAAAUUAUUAGCAACAACUCUCUCUCCGAUGCAGUGCAAAUCUCCACCACUGCAAACCACCAUUGGCCCAACGUAUCACUCUACAUGAAUACCUCGCCGAGGUGAACAUUAUUAUGCUGCAUGACUAAGCAGCCAAACAGAACAGGUUAAACAAACAAAUAAAAAAUGAUUGUGCAGCUCUGCGAUUGGCUGGCAACCAGUUCAGGGUGUACCUCGCCUCCUGCCCGAUGACAGCAGAACUCUUUCAUCAUCAUUUACUGUCACACUUACAUAAAAUAAUAAGCGUGAAGAUUCCUUUUCAUAGCUGAAACUGUCUAGGGGUCUAACCAAUAUGAAGCGCAGUGAGUGCUGUGGGUUGAGCUCUGCUGUAAUGACGACAGCUCCAAGGAGAGCUGAGGAGCAGGAAGGUCGCAGCGAUUAUUGCAAGACAGCUGCUGGAGACACACUUGGCCAGUUGGGGGACACAGGAGGGCCCCAGACGGACCCUCAAGCGGACGAAGACUGGAACGACAGGAAACCAGCAAAUCUCAUGGCGCACUUUGUCGGUGGACGUGGGUGAGCUGGAGCCCAUCCCAAGUGACUUUGACCGAGAGGCGGGGUACGCCCUGCACUGCCUGCCGGCCGACCAGGGCGCAUACAGUACAGACAAAUUAUUGCAUUCACAUUCCCAAUUACACAUAAGGACAAUUUAUAGUCUUUGUUAUGUUAGAAGUUGAAUAAAUUCAUUUCCGCUCAAAAUUUGACACACAACAACCCAUAAUGACAACAUGUACAAGUUCUAUCAUAAAAAAAAAAAAAAAAACACAAUAAAAAUAGUACCACUUAUUUUAUCUCGCUAAAGAUAAUAAUAAUAAUCAUUAUUAUUAUUGUUGUUGUUUUUUCUGUUGCUUUAAUACUUCAUUUUCCUUUCAAAUGUAAGACUGAAUUGUAUUUGCAAGCUGGACUUUGGGUGAAACACGCAGAACUUCCUACAUUGGAGUUUGGAGUUUUUUGGGGGGCUUAUUGUUGGUAAUUAAUUGAUGGGAAGUUAUAUUGGGAAGACAGUGCUACAUACACCAUGAAGGAAAGGGGCGGGAUGGAACACAACAGGGCAGUACGGCGGUCGUGAGCCAAGCAGUUUUACUGCUGUGUGGUUGGAAUGGCUAUGCAGUGCCAAUCACCCAUGUAAAAAAUUGGAGCGCAAAUGAUAAAACAUUCCAAGAAGUAAAGGGACAUUUCAAUGUACAUGUACUGUACUGACGUGCACCUGGACAGAAAAUAAAAGUAGUUAUUCUAUUCUA